GCUCGAAGCUCUCCUAGGACGCGUUUGGUGGCUGUAACGAAGCAGGUCCCAGCAACACCAGGUGGAGAAGCUUCGAAGGAGUCGUCAUCUACUGGUGUUCAGCAGGAAGCUGUCCCUGACAAGCCUUUGCCAAGUGCGGAGGAGUCGGAAGGUUCGUCUUCUACUGGUGAUGAG
Molecule: long non-coding RNA, 174 nt
Organism: Pungitius pungitius (ninespine stickleback)
Lineage: Eukaryota; Metazoa; Chordata; Actinopteri; Perciformes; Gasterosteidae
Exons: 3
Source: RefSeq, a predicted model, not a curated record